Tetranychus urticae (two-spotted spider mite) is the source of this 2448-nucleotide non-coding RNA. The record is from RefSeq and is a predicted model, not a curated record. Lineage: Eukaryota; Metazoa; Arthropoda; Arachnida; Trombidiformes; Tetranychidae.
AGGUUUGGACGAAAUUAGAGUGCCAGUAAUAGCUUCUUGAUCGUCAGAGAUUUAAUGUUUGAAAUAAAAGUGAAAAUUCAAGUAAAUUUCCCUCAUAUUACUCAUUAUUUGAAAUGAUUUCAGAGAUAGCGUGAAGAAAGUGUUGAAUGAAAUUCAAAAGAGUUAAGCAAGAUUCCUAUCUGGAAUAAAUCCAAUAUUUUUAUUUUAAAGCUAUAGACGGCCAAAUACAAUGUAAUUUUACUAAUUAAUGUUUGUUUCUUCCUAUUUAUCCUCAGAAUGCACCUGAUUUCGCAACUCUUGCAACAUUCGAAGACUUGGGUCAGGAUAUGAGAAUCACUAGCAAACUAUUUGACAUACUUUCAAUCCAUCAUUGGUCAUCCUCCAUGUGAAGACUUGGAUGUUUCCUCGGCUGAUAGAUGAAUGCAAAUUUUGGUCAAUUAUAAUCUCGAUAAAGAUGAAAUAAGUACAUGAUUUUCAGUUGGCAGUAAGGAGGUGAAUCCGUCCAUAUUUUUGUGCUAUCCACAGUUCAUAUGCACUUUCCUCAUAACCUUCCAGGAUAACCUGCUUACCUCAAAAAACUACCUGCGUUUGAAUUAAAUCAGUUGGCAAGCGAAUUUCUAGAAAGACAUGAAAGACAUACCCGACUGCUGAUUCUGAUCUAAAAUGUCUUAUUGCAACAGAUUGAGAAACAUGUAAAUAAAUACAAAUAAUCUGGUUAAAGCAAAAAACCUGUUUCCGGUACAAAUUUCCCCAAAGGGUCGAUGCAAAAAUUGCUAACUCUGAUUCAAAUUAAGAAUUCAAGAAACAUCAUGAACCAUUCCUGUUAUAUCAUCUUCACCUCUUUAAUUCUUGAUUUAUCAGCUUUUAAAAUUAUUUUACCACUCAUGCCAGCAAUAUUUGAUUAUUAUGAAACUAAUGAUAAAAAUGGCCUUUAAUUGCAACUUAACGAUAUCGUUGAAACAUUUUGAGUACAUUGUGGUGCUCCAAAUGAUUUAAAUAAAUGGAUGCACUGGUGCAUUAGGAUCUUGGUUUUCUUUUUUGCAGUUCAUCUCUUCACCGUUCAUCGGGGCCUUUUCCGACGUCUAUGGACGUCGUGUUUCAAUGUUGUUAUGUUUAGUGAGAGUAGCUAUUUCUCAUUUUCUCUGGUCAAUGUCUCAAGGACUCGUAUGGCUCGUACGCUAGGGGGCUUGUUUAAAGGAAAUGUCAGUCUAUCUACGGCAAUUAUUACUGACCUAUUGACUCAAGCUGAAAAAGUUAAAGGAAUGGCGUUGAUUUUUGUUGCUUUCUCAGUUGGCUUCGUUUCCUACAAUUCAAAACUGCCCUUUCAUCGAGCCAAAAAUUUUUCGCCUUACCCGCCAUUUUUUCUAACGUUUUGGCUGUUAUUAAUAUUAUUUUAUUUACAUAUACUUCAAAGAGUCCCUUCCAAAAGCCAAUCGACCCAAGUCAACCAUCAAAGGUUUCAUGCAGGCUUUUGGAUAUGUUAACCCGAUUUAUUUGUGCCCGUCUUUCAAAUGUUCAAAAGAUUGGCAAAGAAGAUUUACAAGUUAUCUGUGAUUCAGGAUUCAUCUAUUUUCGUUACUUGUUCUUAUACUCCGGCCUCAAAUAUACUUUUACUUUCUUAACUCACCAUAGACACAAGAAUGCAAAAGUAUACUUAUUCAGUGGUACAUUAAUGGCUUUACUUCAAGGAACAUAUGUCCGGCGUAUAAAACCCAGCAAAGAGCUCAAGACAAUUAAAAUAGGCUUAAUUGUUAUUGUGUUGGCAUUCUUGACAAUUGGACUAUCUCAAACCAUUCCUCAACUUUAUACAGGACUAGCUUUCUAUUCAUUUUCAUCUGCCGCUGUUGUGCCUUGAUCAACAACUCUAGCCUCAUCAACUGGACCAUCAGACCAAAAAAAGACUGUCCUUGGUACAUUCCGAUCUCUAGGUUCGAGCCUCGAGCCUUAGGUCCAAUUGUGUCUUCGCUAACAUAUUGGAGAUUUGGACCUGAAAUAUGUUAUACAAUUGGAGCAUUAUUCUUUGUUUUCACGUUUAUAUUAUCAAGACCGUUAUCUAAUUGACUGAACCCCGCUAAAAUACGCCCAUGCGGUCAAGCAUAUGGGUAAAUUUCACCAACGAGAUUGUUUUGGAUCAGAAAUGGAAUUGACUCAAAGACUGAUUUUAAUUCCAACUCUCAAAGAUCUCAUGUUGAUUAUGUUUAUUCUAAUAUUCUAUUGAGUAGAGUUUAUGUUGCGUACUGACGAUGGAAAUUCAUUUGGGACAGUUGCCAAAUCAUUCAGUUGAUUGGACAGAGAUGAAGUUACUCAAAGUCAAAGACCUUUUGAUUACAGCAUAUUUGCUUCUGCCAGAAAAAUUAUUCUUGUUGUUUGACAGGCUCUUUAGAAAUCAAGGUGACUCUUUAAUUAAUAUGAGAAUUAAUUUCAAAUAAACAGUGUAGAGAUAAGUCA